GCUGUCACGAGGGAUAUUUACCGGAAGAAAGAUCAGGUAAAGUCUCGAAGGUUGUAUCUUGGGGAAAUCGGGCGAUUGCAUAGAAUAAUAGGGUUUAAAGAAGUUAAUCUGAAAGCGGAAUGCGCUGUUUUCCCUGAUGACACGCUGCAAAGGAUGAUUGCGAGCCUAAGAAGUGUUCGACACUUUUCUACAACAGCGAUUAUGAAGCAAGUUGUUUCAGAGCUACAUGUGUCGGUGCCAUGGGGAGAAAUAAGGGGCCAAGCUUGGGGUCCUGAUCAUGGCCGUCCAGUACUGUGCCUGCAUGGCUGGGCAGACAAUGCUGGGUCAUUCAACACCCUAAUUCCAUUUCUACCAAGAGACUGGAAGUGUGUGGCCGUGGAUUUGGUCGGCCAUGGACUGUCCAGCCACAGGCCGGCAGGAGUCUUCUACACCUUCCCCGCGUACGUGUACGACGUGCGGCAGGUCGUCGAAGCUCUGCAGUGGAAACGCUUCUCCAUAAUUGGACACAGCAUGGGAGGCAACAUUGCUGGUUUGUUCAGCGCGUUAUAUCCCGAGAUGGUGGAAUCUGUCGUGUUCCUGGACUCGUUCGGCUUCCUCCCUACUGAGAUGAAAGAGAUGGCAGGACUCGCAAGAAAAGGGAUCGAGGAGAUGAUUGAGUUUGAAAAAAAGAAAGAUGAGAAGAGAGAACGGCUUUACACUUAUGAGAAAGCAGUAGAAAGGUUGAUGACAGCCAAUCCGUCUUUGUCUGAGAAAUCUGUUCACGUCCUUUUGGAGAGAGGCAGCGCGCAAGUUGACGGAGGUGUGGUUUUCAACAGAGAUUUUAGAAUCAACUUGACGAACAUUGUGCGCCUCAGCUUAGAGCAGAGCCUGGAGCUGCAAUCCAGAAUACAGGCUAAAGUUCUUGUUGUCCUGGCAGAGGAUGGACUUAUGAAAAUACCGUCUAAUCCAGAGCAGAAGAGGUACUUCUCUACCCUGCUGGAUGGCUUUAAAGGCCUCGGGGGCCGCGUGUUGACGGUGCCAGGGAACCAUCAUGUUCAUCUGAAUGACCCCGAAACCGUGGCCUCCAUCAUCACCGAUUUCCUGGAGGGCGGAGCCUCAGACUUGGCUGCUAAACUGUAAGAGUCAGGACCUCAGUCGCUGGCACAGACAUCAUUCUACUUCAGAUGCACAAAGGUCCAUUAACACACUGGUUCAUCACUGGGGAUCUUCCCCACCGACCCACACCUAACUUCAAGGACUGGAUCCACAAAACCAUGUCAGAAUUAACAGCAAAAAAAUCUGGAACUCUGGGAUUGUCGUUGUGUUUUUAUAAAGACGCAUUAAUUUUGAAGGGGCUUUUCUAAAAUGAUUGUCUAGCUGGGGUGGGGGGGGCGAGUGAAACUGCACACGCAUGCAUACACACUUAGUGAAUCACUGUGCUGCUGCCGCAGACUAAAAUGUUUUAACAUUAACUGACAUAUUUCAGGUAUCGGUGCAUUUAUGUGGUACCAAUUUUGGGAGUUGCGAAAAUUACUAUUGUGAAAAUUUUAAUGUUUAACAUCUUGAGUCAAGGCGAAGAUGAAAUCUGUUUUAAGAUGUUAUAUUAAUAUAUAUAGAGACAGUAUUUAUUGAUCAUGUGUGGCAUUGUACCUCUCCGUUGUGCCUCUCAGCGUGUCAGGCUGCCGAUGUUGUGGCAAAGGAAAUAAAAUCCCACCAAACUCACAAACGUUUGCGGGUGACUCUUUGCUCCCUCCCAUUAAGAUUUUGGCUGAUCCUGAGCUGGUCGAUUUGGCACAGACCUGGUCGAGUGCUUCUGGUAACCAUGGAUACACAUGUGGCAAGUGCACAGGUUUUCCUUGUGCCUUUUACCAGCAUCCCCCCCCCCCCCAACAAACCGAACAUCUGCAGUGGGCAGGGUAGGUGUGAGCUUUCCCACCUCGGCUUGGCACAGCAGUACCUCCCCCAUGUGAUCUGGGAUUACUCGCGUGUCCGUUACAGUGUGAACUCCCCCCUUUGAGGGCUGGACAAUUCGCCGUCAUUUAACUUUGCUUACUGGAGCGAUGAACUCCUUCAUCUGCGGAAAUUAUCAAUUGAACUGGAAGCGAAUCACACUGGGCACCUGACCCUAUUUCUUUGCGAGGGCUUUUGACAGAAGCGGUUAUAUAAAUUUUUCUCUCCCCUCUGGGCUCAACAUCACCAGGCUGGUCUCCAUGGCAACAUCUCACCCACCCCUCCCCACUCCCCCCCCCCUACUUCCAAAUAUGACGUCAUAAGGCAGAGCAAGCCAAAACGGCUGCAGACUGUCACACGUCAGGGAAAUCUCCCUUUGAGUAGUAGUUCUGUAAUCUUACGUUGAGGAAUCAACGUUGCACUUUGAGUCGCUCACCUCCGAUACCUUUCGGUUACGAUAAGAACGAGGAGGCGAGGCAGCCGAGAUCCCCGGACUUCUCCGCAAAUCUAGAGCAGCUCUACUCCAUUCCAGCAGUCCUAGUUCUGGCGGGGUUUGGAGCUUGCCUGUACUUCCUCGAACCAGGACUGCAGGACGCACACAAGUGGAAUGCCCAGGCACCGCAUAGACGCCCCCUGGUGGCCAAUGAUGAAAACUACAGCAAAGAUGAUGAUAGUGUUCUGAUAUAAUAGUAAAGGAAAAUUUCACACACUGUAUUACAAUAAAUAUACUUGAUGUUUAAUAAAAAUUUAAGGAAGAAUCCCAUAGUGGUAUUUUUCCUAUAGUUUUCCAAUAGAUUCAUAUAACACCAACUAAGGUAGAAGGGGGAUUUAAAACAUCAUCCUAAAAUAAUAUGUAGGAGUGCUCUUAUUAAAAACAAGAGCACUUGUGCCAAUCAUGUUAUGCAAAAGUGAAAUUUGUGAUAAAUAUGUGUUUAUAUAUUUUUCAAUAGACUAGAAAAACUGUAAUUUAUGUUAUUUCAACAACUGCAUAGGGUUAGCAAUGCUAACACAGUUUGUCUCCUCUGUAACAAAGCUUUCUAGAUGAGUAAUGCAACACACAGCCAUGUACAUUGGAAGUUAAUGCUGUGUUCUUCCAAAAUUUUACUUUUGACUUUGUAUUAAAAGAUACUGCGAGAUUUAUGUAUUUCAAAGUGGAAAAAGUGUCCUGGAUCACAAUGUUGUACUAAAGCUGAAGACACGAUGCAGAUAUAUGAAUAAAAUUCCAAAUUAUUUUAUCACCAACACAA
Molecule: RNA transcript, 3176 nt
Organism: Brienomyrus brachyistius
Lineage: Eukaryota; Metazoa; Chordata; Actinopteri; Osteoglossiformes; Mormyridae
Gene: serhl
Gene name: serine hydrolase like
Exons: 15
Source: RefSeq, a predicted model, not a curated record